UURGAGACCCUAUUAUUUCAUNUUGUAAAAAUUUUAUACCUAAGUAUUACGAGAUUAUUAAUUAAAAUUUAUAAAAGUUUUAAAACUUAAAAGGUUUGGCGGUUUUACAAAUCCGGUUAGGGGAGCUUGGUAAUUAAAUUGAUAAUCCACAUUUUAAACUUWCUUUUUUUUGAAUAUAUAUUUAUAUAUAUACAGUUUGUAUAUUGCUGUCUAUAGUUUAUGCUUAAAGGUAUAAAAAACUUUUAAAUUUUUAGGUUUUUAUGUCAAGUCAUAAUGCAAUAAAUGAAGAAGGUUUAGUGAGCUACUAUUAUAAAUUU
RNAcentral lists this ribosomal RNA (317 nucleotides) under Ocythoe tuberculata. RNAcentral's name for it is "partial 12S ribosomal RNA". The record is from RNAcentral. Lineage: Eukaryota; Metazoa; Mollusca; Cephalopoda; Octopoda; Ocythoidae.